Molecule: ribosomal RNA, 365 nt
Filed under: uncultured bacterium
Lineage: Bacteria
Description: bacterial SSU rRNA
Rfam family: Bacterial small subunit ribosomal RNA
Source: RNAcentral
GAAAAUGACUGAGCGGCGAACGGGUGAGUAACGCGUGAGCAAUCUACCUUAGUUACAGGGAUAGCCCGAGGAAACUCGGAUUAAUACCUGAUAUUCUUUAUAUUUCGCAUGAAAUUAAAAGGAAAGGUCAGCCGAACUAAGAUGAGCUCGCGUUCUAUCAGCUAGUUGGUGAGGUAAAAGCUCACCAAGGCUACGACGGAUAGCUGGUCUGAGAGGACGAUCAGCCACACUGGGACUGAGACACGGCCCAGACUCCUACGGGAGGCUGCAGCAGGGAAUAUUGCGCAAUGAGCGAAAGCUUGACGCACCGACACCGCGUGUGGGAUGACGGAUCUAGGUUUGUAAACCACUUUCAGGAGGGAAGA